CGCGUAGGCGGCCAGCACAAGUCAGUUGUGAAAUCUCCGAGCUUAACUCGGAAAGGUCAACUGAUACUGUGCGGCUAGAGUGCGGAAGGGGCAACUGGAAUUCUUGGUGUAGCGGUGAAAUGCGUAGAUAUCAAGAGGAACACCUGCGGCGAAGGCGGGUUGCUGGGCCGACACUGACGCUGAGGCGCAAAGCCAGGGAGCGAACG
This 206-nucleotide ribosomal RNA is filed under the name uncultured bacterium. RNAcentral describes it as "partial 16S ribosomal RNA". It matches the Rfam family "Bacterial small subunit ribosomal RNA", at positions 568 to 774 of the family's 1533-position model. The record is from RNAcentral.